This 21-nucleotide unclassified non-coding RNA is filed under the name Dictyostelium discoideum. The record is from RNAcentral. Lineage: Eukaryota; Evosea; Eumycetozoa; Dictyosteliales; Dictyosteliaceae.
UCAAGUGUGCCCUGUUCGCCA